This 42-nucleotide transfer RNA is filed under the name Canis lupus (wolf). Its description in RNAcentral is "partial tRNA-Ser". The record is from RNAcentral. Lineage: Eukaryota; Metazoa; Chordata; Mammalia; Carnivora; Canidae.
UUGAGAAAGACAUAAUGGUUAUGACAUUGGCUUGAAACCAAU